Non-coding RNA from Halorubrum lipolyticum DSM 21995, 53 nucleotides. NCBI's taxonomy places the organism in Archaea, Methanobacteriati, Methanobacteriota, Halobacteria, Halobacteriales, Haloferacaceae. The record is from Rfam.
UCGUUCGGGGGAUAGAGGAAGUCGCCUCACGGCGGCUGGCCGCGAAAUUCUCC